Molecule: small nucleolar RNA, 107 nt
Organism: Arabidopsis thaliana (thale cress)
Lineage: Eukaryota; Viridiplantae; Streptophyta; Magnoliopsida; Brassicales; Brassicaceae
Rfam family: Plant small nucleolar RNA R71
About the family: R71 is a member of the C/D box family of snoRNAs containing the C (UGAUGA) and D (CUGA) box motifs. Multiple nearly identical copies of this snoRNA have been identified in Arabidopsis, and it is thought to function as a 2'-O-ribose methylation guide for 18S ribosomal RNA.
Source: Rfam
AAGCCAUGAUGCGGGCAGACCUGUUGAUACUCCUUGAAACGAACCCAAGCGGCUUUUAAAGCCUCAGCUGGACCUUGGGUGAAGGUAGACAGCUUGUUUCUUAGCUC